CCUACGGGAGGCAGCAGUGGGGAAUAUUGGGCAAUGGGCGCAAGCCUGACCCAGCAACGCCGCGUGAAGGAAGAAGGCUUUCGGGUUGUAAACUUCUUUUCACAGGGACGAAGCAAGUGACGGUACUUGAGGAAUAAGCCACGGCUAACAACGUGCCAGCAGCCGCGGGAAUACGUAGGUGGCAAGCGUUAUCCGGAUUGACUGGGUGUAAAGGGCGUGUAGGCGGGGACGCAAGUGAGAUGUGAAAACCACGGGCUCAACCUGUGGCCUGCAUUGGAAACUGUGUUUCGUGAGUACUGGAGAGGCAGACGGAAUUCGUAGUGUAGCGGUGAAAUGCGUAGAUAUUAGGAAGAACCCCAGUGGCGAAGGCGGUCUGCUGGACAGCAACUGACGCUGAGGCGCGAAAGCGUGGGGAGCGAACAGGAUUAGAUACCCUUGUAGUC
Molecule: ribosomal RNA, 443 nt
Filed under: uncultured bacterium
Lineage: Bacteria
Description: partial 16S ribosomal RNA
Rfam family: Bacterial small subunit ribosomal RNA
Source: RNAcentral